GACGUCUGGUGUCGGAGUAUUAUCGCUGUCACAAGUGCCUGUUCCAUCGCCUGCCCGCCUACCUAGGAUUUUGUGUUGGCUAUUCUGGAUCCGCGACGGAGUGCUACGUACCAUCAGGCGGCGAUCACCGCAGCGGCUGUGGUUUGGGUGGUCAAGUAGCUCCGGUGCGUCUGCUACCUACCUGUAUGCUUCGGCUCCAUCUCAUCGCCUCGGUGUUUUCCUGCUGGCACAUUUUUAUUUAUCACUGUA
Maylandia zebra (zebra mbuna) is the source of this 249-nucleotide non-coding RNA. The record is from RefSeq and is a predicted model, not a curated record. Lineage: Eukaryota; Metazoa; Chordata; Actinopteri; Cichliformes; Cichlidae.